This 127-nucleotide microRNA precursor is filed under the name Paramuricea clavata. The record is from RNAcentral. Lineage: Eukaryota; Metazoa; Cnidaria; Anthozoa; Malacalcyonacea; Plexauridae.
UUUAUACGUCGAAUUUUGGUCGCGUCGAAUGCAAUUAAGACAAUAGAUAAUGAGAUGAUAAAGCUCAUUAAGCUUCAUUAUCUAUUGUUUGAAUUGCAUUCGACGCGACCGAAAUUCAACGUAUAAA